Molecule: ribosomal RNA, 468 nt
Filed under: uncultured bacterium
Lineage: Bacteria
Description: partial 16S ribosomal RNA
Rfam family: Bacterial small subunit ribosomal RNA
Source: RNAcentral
GACGAACGCUGGCGGCGUGCUUAACACAUGCAAGUCGAACGGAAAGGCCCUGCUUUUGUGGGGGGCUCGAGUGGCGAACGGGUGAGUAACACGUGAGUAACCUGCCCUUGACUUUGGGAUAACUUCAGGAAACUGGGGCUAAUACCGGAUAGGAGCUCCUGCUGCAUGGUGGGGGUUGGAAAGUUUCGGCGGUUGGGGAUGGACUCGCGGCUUAUCAGCUUGUUGGUGGGGUAGUGGCUUACCAAGGCUUUGACGGGUAGCCGGCCUGAGAGGGUGACCGGCCGCAUUGGGACUGAGAUACGGCCCAGACUCCUACGGGAGGCAGCAGUGGGGAAUAUUGCACAAUGGGCGGAAGCCUGAUGCAGCAACGCCGCGUGCGGGAUGACGGCCUUCGGGUUGUAAACCGCUUUCGCCUGUGACGAAGCGUGAGUGACGGUAAUGGGUAAAGAAGCACCGGCUAACUACGUG